AACAAGGCAUCACACACCUAGGGUCACAGAACCAAUAUAUUCUAUAUAUUCUCUCACUUUCCUGGAACUACAACCAUGGGAACAAAUUCUUUUACGUAGGGCUCCAGCAUCAUAGGAGAACUGGGGGAACUUGGCAUGGGUUAUUGUCCCUCUGUGGAUUCCAUACUAUGGAACAUCAAGAUGGUGAUAUAGGUCUCCUUUGCCCUUCCUUAUUAUGGGUAUUGUCUGUUGGAGUUUAUCACUACUUCAUUUGUAAAUACUAAGCAUUCCUGUUUUCUAUCCCCCUUAAACCUUGAAAGCUCAGUUUGGAUAUCACUUCUUUUGGGUAGCUUUUCUGCUUGUUGCAUAACAAAACUGUCGUUCUAAGAUUUCAAUAGCUUCUCUGAUACUAUGGCAAAAUUCAAAGUCCCUUUUUAUGCUCACAAGACUCUUCAAGAUCUUUUAUCAACAAUUCUGUCUCUCUCCACUCCCCAGCUUGCAUGCUGUUUCAUCCUUGUGAAGGCAGUAUGGCUUAAUGGUCAAGACUGCACAAUCUGAAACUAAACUGCUCGGCUCACCUCAGGAAUAGAUGCAUAUUCUGAUUGCCUCUUCUGGAAAGACUUAUCAGAAACUCAAAAGAACACAACCAUCUGUCUCUCACCUACAUGUGACCUGGAAGACCCCAGUUGGCGGCAGUGGGUUGAGCAUUUUAUUGCCCUGGAAAAGAUUGUGGUUUUGUUGCAAGGAAGAAGAGAAGAAUGACAUUUUUGUGGAAGAAUUGGGUUCUGUCUCCCAAUUAGGAUAGACUUGACUGCAACUGAAAUAGCCUUGAAGUCUUCCUUGCCUGCUUAACUCUCUCCUGCAAUUUCUCUUUGACAAAUGAAACUGUAUGUGAUGGCAGUGAUAUUACAAAGCUAUAAAAUUCUAUGAUUCUUUAUUCAUAAAAUUGCAUGAGAAGAUUGGGUAUCCAAUUGGAGAAAAUAUUUCUGUUUCACACUAAUUGCAAAAAUAAAAUCCGAGUAAGUUAAAAAUAUAAAUGCU
This 1020-nucleotide long non-coding RNA is filed under the name Homo sapiens (human). RNAcentral describes it as "HSALNT0204494". The record is from RNAcentral. Lineage: Eukaryota; Metazoa; Chordata; Mammalia; Primates; Hominidae.